This 370-nucleotide ribosomal RNA is filed under the name Enterobacteriaceae bacterium 12-8-8. RNAcentral's name for it is "bacterial SSU rRNA". It matches the Rfam family "Bacterial small subunit ribosomal RNA", at positions 76 to 453 of the family's 1533-position model. Lineage: Bacteria; Pseudomonadati; Pseudomonadota; Gammaproteobacteria; Enterobacterales; Enterobacteriaceae. The record is from RNAcentral.
GCUUUUUGGCUGACGAGUGGCGGACGGGUGAGUAAUGUCUGGGAAACUGCCUGAUGGAGGGGGAUAACUACUGGAAACGGUAGCUAAUACCGCAUAACGUCGCAAGACCAAAGAGGGGGACCUUCGGGCCUCUUGCCAUCGGAUGUGCCCAGAUGGGAUUAGCUAGUAGGUGGGGUAACGGCUCACCUAGGCGACGAUCCCUAGCUGGUCUGAGAGGAUGACCAGCCACACUGGAACUGAGACACGGUCCAGACUCCUACGGGAGGCAGCAGUGGGGAAUAUUGCACAAUGGGCGCAAGCCUGAUGCAGCCAUGCCGCGUGUGUGAAGAAGGCCUUCGGGUUGUAAAGUACUUCAGCGGGGAGGAAGGGG